UUUUUUUGAGACAGGGUUUCUCUGUAUAGUCUUGGCUGUCCUGGAACUCACUUUGUAGACCAGGCUGGCCUCGAACUCAGAAAUUCGCCUACCUCUGCCUCCAGAGUGCUGGGAUUAAAGGGGUGAGCCACCACGCCCGGCAGAAGGAAACUUUUAAGGGCCUUUUUUAGCCCAUUGGAUAAUUUUUUUCCUGAGCCUGUUUUUCCCAAGUAUAAAAUCACCCUUAAUUUAAUGACUAGGCUCCCUUCAAAAGCUCUCGACUUGGUGUUGAACAUUUAGACCUUAAAUUGCAGCGUGUGUAUUUAAGACGGUGUUGUGCUUUAGGGACAGUUAAUUAUUGUCAUUUAGUCAGAGGAUGGGGAAUGAUCUGAGGGAAGAAUUGGAAGUGAAAAUUGUAUGAAAACUACACGAUUAACAGUGCAUGGGACAAAUAGGAGAAGCACUGUUUCCAGCAGAGUCCAAAGAGUAGUUAGAAGUUAACAUCAGUAAAUUUAGCAUGCAUUUCUGACAUGGAGACAAGCCCAUUGUUUCUCUCUUUGAUGGUCCCAUUUGGAUUCCUUACCUCCUUUGAUUGGAAGUGACAGUAACAUUUGAAAAAGGGGCAGACAUUUUAACUUUUGUAAUUGGUUUUGUUUCUGCCUUCACUGAAUCUCAGUAGCACACUGAGAUUCUUGUAAGUUAUAAACCUAAGUGGAGAAUAAACUAUUAGUCAUUUUAUCCAUUGACAACUGUGGAUUUAAAAAUUCAGCCCUCAAGGUGGGGUCCAGCCCCAGGUAGAACACUGGCUUAGCAUGUCCAGGCCCCUGGAUAUAGUCCCCAGCACCAUCAAAUGAAUAAGACCAAAUUUGGGAUUUAAAUCUACCUCAGAUGACCUAUAGCACCCAGAAAGAAGCUCUAAGCUGGAAAUACUUUGAAAGAAAAUUAAGAGCAAAGCGUCUAGAAUGACUAGUAGGUAAUCUUUUAAGGGGGAAUAUUGGCUUUUAAGUCUUGGUAAAUUCUGGAAACCUAAUUAACCUUUGUUAGUUUAAAGAAAUUCAAUGACUGUCCCCCCCCCCC
Molecule: long non-coding RNA, 1056 nt
Filed under: Mus musculus (house mouse)
Lineage: Eukaryota; Metazoa; Chordata; Mammalia; Rodentia; Muridae
Description: long non-coding RNA chr4:44757393-44758449
Source: RNAcentral